Molecule: long non-coding RNA, 884 nt
Organism: Populus euphratica (Euphrates poplar)
Lineage: Eukaryota; Viridiplantae; Streptophyta; Magnoliopsida; Malpighiales; Salicaceae
Exons: 2
Source: RefSeq, a predicted model, not a curated record
AUUAUAGCCUGUAGUGUAAUUAUAUUUUGUUUCUUUUUCCACGACCAUAGUCAUUUGAUGUUCAAUACUCUCCAUUCCAUAUUACUCUAGGAUGAGAUAAUUGCUUUGAAAUUAAUCUCUGCAAUCCUUUAACAUGUUUGCACAAGGUUGAUUUUUUCCCCCUUUUUUCUUUCUGUAGCUAUAUUGCUUCGAUGUUUUUUCAGUAUCUCAUCUUAAAGUUUUCUCAAAUCUGAUUAUUAAUAUAUCUCUCUCACCUCAUCUGUACAUAGCCCCUUGUUGGUAUUUCAGAUUCUUAGGCUUAAAUAAGUUCCAGUAGAGUACCUAUGUGAUCUCAUGUGCAGGCGACCCAUGGAUUGUGGAUGACAGGAUUUCCCUAGAUAAACCUCUUGAUUCUGCUAUUUUAUCGCAUCUGAAGCAGUUCUCUGAAACGAACAAGCUCAAGAAGAUGGAUUUGCAUGAAAAUACCAAAAGCCUGUUCGGAUGAAUUCAGUGCUUCGUUCUGUUCUAAAGAACGGAAUUUCACCUCAGAAGAGGAGGUUUCUUCUCUCUCAUCUUGGUCAGAUGAUCCAGAAGAAAGUCUUAGCACUACUGGCUCUACCUUUAUUACCAGAGAUGUUCUUGCAUCAGAAUCCAUGGCACAGGUUUCAUCUUAGCUACAAACAGCAACAUUGCGGCUGUUGAACAAGAGGGAAAUUUUUCUCCACUGAAUUGGUUGGUUGCUUGGAUCAGUAUGAGCUAAAAACACAGAAUUUGUGUAAGAUGUUGAGUAUAUACUCUUUUGAAAAAGCAGAGCAUAUAUCUUUUAUUCCUUCUUUAACAGAUACAUAAAAUGUUUUGUCGUAUUGUUAGUGGUAAAUAAAAUCUGAUUCCAAGCAUUGCUUUCA